RNAcentral lists this ribosomal RNA (486 nucleotides) under uncultured bacterium. RNAcentral's name for it is "partial 16S ribosomal RNA". It matches the Rfam family "Bacterial small subunit ribosomal RNA", at positions 30 to 507 of the family's 1533-position model. The record is from RNAcentral.
AUUGAACGCUGGCGGCAUGCCUUACACAUGCAAGUCGAACGGCAGCACGGGUGCUUGCACCUGGUGGCGAGUGGCGAACGGGUGAGUAAUACAUCGGAACAUGUCCUGUAGUGGGGGAUAGCCCGGCGAAAGCCGGAUUAAUACCGCAUACGAUCCACGGAUGAAAGCGGGGGACCUUCGGGCCUCGCGCUAUAGGGUUGGCCGAUGGCUGAUUAGCUAGUUGGUGGGGUAAAGGCCUACCAAGGCGACGAUCAGUAGCUGGUCUGAGAGGACGACCAGCCACACUGGGACUGAGACACGGCCCAGACUACUACGGGAGGCAGCAGUGGGGAAUUUUGGACAAUGGGCGAAAGCCUGAUCCAGCAAUGCCGCGUGUGUGAAGAAGGCCUUCGGGUUGUAAAGCACGUUUGUCCGGAAAGAAAUCCUUGACUCUAAUACAGUCGGGGGAUGACGGUACCGGAAGAAUAAGCACCGGCUAACUACGUG